Molecule: ribosomal RNA, 143 nt
Filed under: Ophiopogon amblyphyllus
Lineage: Eukaryota; Viridiplantae; Streptophyta; Magnoliopsida; Asparagales; Asparagaceae
Description: 5.8S ribosomal RNA
Rfam family: 5.8S ribosomal RNA
About the family: 5.8S ribosomal RNA (5.8S rRNA) is a component of the large subunit of the eukaryotic ribosome. It is transcribed by RNA polymerase I as part of the 45S precursor that also contains 18S and 28S rRNA. Functionally, it is thought that 5.8S rRNA may be involved in ribosome translocation.
Source: RNAcentral
ACGACUCUCGGCAACGGAUAUCUUGGCUCUCGCAUCGAUGGAGAACGCAGCGAAAUGCGAUACUUGGUGUGAAUUGCAGAAUCCCGUGAACCAUCGAGUCUUUGAACGCAAGUUGCGCCCGAGGCUAUCCGGCCGAGGGCACG